Long non-coding RNA from Pipistrellus kuhlii (Kuhl's pipistrelle), 161 nucleotides. RefSeq lists it as uncharacterized. The record is from RefSeq and is a predicted model, not a curated record. The transcript has 3 exons. NCBI's taxonomy places the organism in Eukaryota, Metazoa, Chordata, Mammalia, Chiroptera, Vespertilionidae.
GUGGGCCCCUGGGAGCUACUAACGGUUGUUGAGUAAGAGAACCACAGAAUGGACCCUAGAACAGUCAGUACACUUAAUUAUAGAGAGGACCACUAUUGUAAGGCUCUUAUGGGAGUUUAGGCAAAGGGUCAUGCGGCCUGAACUAGGGAGAGAGAGAGCAA